UGAACGCUAGCGGCAGGCUUAAUACAUGCAAGUCGAGGGGCAGCAAAACACUUCGGUGUUGUUGGCGACCGGCGCACGGGUGCGUAAUGCGUAUGUAAUCUACCUUGUACUGGGGCAUAGCUUUCGGAAACGGAAAUUAAUACCCCAUAUUAUCUUAUUGUCGCAUGACAUAAAGAUGAAAGUUUUUCGGUACAAGAUGAGCAUACGUCCUAUUAGCUAGUUGGUGAAGUAACAGCUCACCAAGGCUACGAUAGGUAGGGGGUCUGAGAGGAUGUCCCCCCACACUGGUACUGAGACACGGACCAGACUCCUACGGGAGGCAGCAGUAAGGAAUAUUGGUCAAUGGGCGCAAGCCUGAACCAGCUAUGCCGCGUGCAGGAUGAAGGCCUUCAGGUCGUAAACUGCUUUUAUGCGAGAAAAAUAAGCUUCUGCGGAAGUUAAUGAUGUUAUCGCAUGAAUAAGCACCGGCUAACUCC
RNAcentral lists this ribosomal RNA (476 nucleotides) under uncultured bacterium. RNAcentral describes it as "bacterial SSU rRNA". It matches the Rfam family "Bacterial small subunit ribosomal RNA", at positions 30 to 504 of the family's 1533-position model. The record is from RNAcentral.